CAGGGAGCAGGGCGGGAGGCGGCCGCGGGGCAGCGCCCCCCGCCUGAGGAGCUGCAGGCCACCUGCGCGCUGGCUUGGCGAGACCGGCCGGCGGGGGGCGUUGGGCUGCCGGCCGCCCCGGGCCGGUGGCUGGGAGGCCCCGGCUCGCCUCACCCACCUCCCCAGGCCGAGAGAGCGGCCUCCGGGGAGGGCGAGGGAAGGUGAGGGAAGUCCCUGCCGUCGGCUCGGCGGGACACCAGCUCCCGGGCGUGGCAAGGGGCUGUAAGGCCGUGGCGCCGCCAAAACCGCGCCGGGGCGACGGAAAUAGCUGAAGCAAAUUCCCAAGGCAGCAGUCCGAAAUCAGGGAGGAAGGGCCAACUCCUCCGCCACUGCAUGGAGAACGCAGCACUGCAGGGCAGAGUAAGCCCACCAGGACCUUCUUCAUCAGAGCAAACAGUGCCAGCAUAGUUACCUACGUGAACAGCCUCAAAGCUGCAGUAACCUCUAGCUUUCAUCAGCACCAUCCCUGACUUCCUGGCACCUUGAUGGCUCCCAGAGUACCAGAAUACUGUGGCUUCACCCCCUUUUUCCCAGAGCAACAGCAGCUGUGCUGAACUUGGGAGGGGCUCGACCCCUUCGGAGUUCUACAUUGCAGCACAGCCUUCUGCCAAAGCUCCUCUGCUGGCCCCUGCCAUGAAAACACUACUGCAAAUUUUUUAUUUGCUAAUUGCUAGAUGUAACUAUGCCUCAGAUUUCUUUUUUCAAUCUAUCUACACAUGCAAAGAGUGGAAUGUACCAUUUUUUUAUGCACACAUGCUUCAUUGCCAGAGUCUACAAGUAUUCACCACAGGAAGCAGGAAGGAAAAGGCUAAGAUCACAACAGGAAGGAGGGGGAAGAUUUCAAGGUGUGGAGACACAACGAAAAGAAACUCAGGGGAGGCUGACCUGAUAAAAAGCAGAGUAAAAUAAUCCCUCCCUUUCAUCUGCCCCCUCUUGAGUAAGGGUGGGCAAUGCCUGCAGGUUGGGGAGGAGAAUAGGUUGGGAACAAAGAUUAAAGACCAUAAAACAGGAUGGGGCAUAUGGCAGGGGAAUGAAAGAGGACCGCAGGCGUGCAGACGCAGAGUGGUUGGAGAUGGAUCCCUAAAAUAAGCGAAAAGGAACAGGGGAAAAAAAAAAGUAGUCAUUUGGGUAUUGGGAGAAAAAUGGGAAACGAAUAGAAAGCUGAAAGUAAAAUACUAAGCAAAGAAACCUCCAGCAAAGAUGGAGGUGCCAUUUUUGUAUCAUGUUACACCAGAUGAGGAAAUACCAUGAGAAAAUCCAUACACUGAAUUUGACAAGGAAGGAGACUAUUUAACAGGGAAGGACUUCUGUCUAGGGGUUUGAAACAUCUGGCAGUAGACAUAAAAUAAUCACAGAUGGUGUCUCACCAGUCUGGGAGAGGACGUACUUUUGGCCCACAGAGACUAAUGGUAUUAAUUUCUUUCCUUCCUUCUUUUCUCUCAGUCUCUUUUUCCUUUUCCCCAGUUUUUUUUUUUCUUUGUUCCUUCCUUUCCUUCCCUCCCCAUCUCCCUUCUUCCUUCCUUCCAACAAUUGUUUAAAACUCCAUCGCUACUCUUGAUAUGAAUUACAAGAGCUAGAAAUGCCAUCUUAUUCUAUUAGCAUUGGUAACAUGCAUAUACUUAUCAGUAGAUACAAAUUAUUUUAAUGGAUGUUUUUGCUUGUUUUUUUAACAAAGCAAUAGUGGGACCACACUCCUCUCCUUUCAAAUUCUUCCUUCAGGAGAACUUUCUUAUCUCUUUGUUAAUAAAUUGCUAACAAGGAAAGCUACCAUCAGCAGUAUGGAAAAUGCCAAAUCAAAUGUUGGUCGAAUCACCCUAAAUUAAUGAUAUUAAGUGAAAGAAACCUUGAGUGACAUUCCUAUUUAACUUUUUUUUAAAAUUCUUAAUAAAGGAUUACAAAAUCUCUGAAA
This is a non-coding RNA of Phalacrocorax carbo (great cormorant), 1948 nucleotides long. Lineage: Eukaryota; Metazoa; Chordata; Aves; Suliformes; Phalacrocoracidae. The record is from RefSeq and is a predicted model, not a curated record.